This 327-nucleotide ribosomal RNA is filed under the name uncultured eukaryote. Its description in RNAcentral is "partial 18S ribosomal RNA". It matches the Rfam family "Eukaryotic small subunit ribosomal RNA", at positions 1470 to 1796 of the family's 1831-position model. The record is from RNAcentral.
CCCUUAGAUGUUCUGGGUCGCACGCGCGCUACACUGACGAAUGCAACGAGCUUAUAACCUUGGCCGAAAGGUCUGGGUAAUCUCCAAAUUUCGUCGUGAUGGGGAUAGAUUAUUGCAAUUAUUAAUCUUCAACGAGGAAUGCCUAGUAAGCGCAAGUCAUCAGCUUGCGUUGAUUACGUCCCUGCCCUUUGUACACACCGCCCGUCGCUCCUACCGAUUGAAUGGUCCGGUGAAGCGCUCGGACCGCGGCCUCUUGACGGUUCGCUGUCGAUUGGCUGUGGGAAGUUCGUUAAACCUUAUCAUUUAGAGGAAGGAGAAGUCGUAACA